This 29-nucleotide non-coding RNA is filed under the name Rattus norvegicus (Norway rat). Lineage: Eukaryota; Metazoa; Chordata; Mammalia; Rodentia; Muridae. The record is from RNAcentral.
UGUUGCUUCAGUAAGAAUUGCUGUUUCAC